RNAcentral lists this ribosomal RNA (195 nucleotides) under Triticum aestivum (bread wheat). Its description in RNAcentral is "partial small subunit ribosomal RNA". The record is from RNAcentral. Lineage: Eukaryota; Viridiplantae; Streptophyta; Magnoliopsida; Poales; Poaceae.
AUGCACCAUGCAUGCCCUGGCCACGCCAACAGCUUCAGCUAUGUCAACGACAUCGUUCUCGCCAUCAACCAACUCCUCGCCCGCUUCUGGCGCGUGCUGCACAUGGACAUCGACGCGCACCAUGGGGACACAGCCCAACCUUGGUGCUCAUGUUGCCGCUGGCCAGGGUGUGGACGCGGGCACUGCCGCCGAUAG